RNAcentral lists this long non-coding RNA (1102 nucleotides) under Monodelphis domestica (gray short-tailed opossum). RNAcentral describes it as "lncRNA (ENSMODG00000051030.1)". The record is from RNAcentral. Lineage: Eukaryota; Metazoa; Chordata; Mammalia; Didelphimorphia; Didelphidae.
CCUCUGCCAUUUUGGGGCUUAUUUUUUAAAACUUUCUGAGAAGUAGAAGCCUUUUCCUGUAUUCCAAAAGCAAAUAGUUCCAAGUAUACCAAGUCUGAAAAUCAAAUGAUAAAAUUAUAAAACCCAGGUCAGAAAAAAAGAAGUCAAUAGUCACAAAGUCAAGAAUUCAUUUUAUGAUUGAGUCAAAGCCUAGAGAAUAAACAUGUUUUGUUUUGUUUAGAUUUGGUUUACAAAUCAAACAAAACAAAACUAGGGUAGGUUGAGGUUCAAAUAGGUCUGCAGACAGUUUCUCAGUCGGUCUCUGUCUCUCCCUCUUCCUCCUUGAGUCUGUCUCUGCCUCUGUCUCUCCUCCCUGCCUGUCUUUGUUUCUGCCUUCUUUUUGUCUUUCUGUCUCUCUCUCUCCCUCUCUGUCUGUCUCUCCCUUUCUCUUUCUCUCCCUGACUGUGUCUGUCUCUGACUUUCCCUCUCUGUCUGUCCCUCCCUCUCUGUUUUUGUUUAUCUCCUCUCUCUUUCUGUCUGUCUCUCUCCCUCUCUCUCUGUAUUCUCUCUGUCUAUCUCUGUCUCUUCCUCUUUCCUGUGGCUGCCUGUUUCUUAUCUCUCUUUCCCUCUUCCUGUUUGUCUUUGUCUCUCCCUCUCCCUCCCUUUCUCUGCCUCUGUCUCUCUCCCUCUCCCUCUCUAUCUCUGUUUGUCUUCUCUGUCUCUCUGCCUCUGUCCCUCUCUCUCUCCCUCCCUGUCUCUCCUUUACCCUUUCCCUCCUUUUCUGUUUCUCCCUUUCCCUCUUCCUUCCUGUCUCUGUCUCCUCUCUGUCUCUGUUUGUCUCUAUUCUGUCUCCCUCUCCCUCCCUGUCUCUCCUUUACCCUCUCCCUCCUUGUCUGUCUUUGUCUCCUCUCUGUUUCUCUCCUCCCCCUCCCCCCCCCCCUCUGAUUUCUCUCUCUCUCAAAUUUGGCAUCAAGAAAAAAGAAACAGGGGCAGCUGUGUGGCUUGGUGGAGUGAGAGCCAGGCCUAGAGACAGGAGGUCCUAGGUUCAAAUCUGGUCUCAGACACUUCCCAGCUGUGUGGCCCUGGGCAAGUCACUUCACCCCUAUUGCCUAGCCUUUACCAC